This 142-nucleotide unclassified non-coding RNA is filed under the name soil metagenome. RNAcentral describes it as "partial internal transcribed spacer 1". The record is from RNAcentral.
AUAAUAAGUGUUUUAUGGCACUUUUUAAAUCCAUAUCCACCCUGUGUGCAAUGUCAGUCGAUCUUCUUCAGGAGAUCGACCAAACAUCAACCUUAUCUUUAACCUUUGUCUGAAAAAUAUUAUGAAUAAACAAUUCAAAAUA